RNAcentral lists this long non-coding RNA (219 nucleotides) under Homo sapiens (human). Its description in RNAcentral is "HSALNT0349078". The record is from RNAcentral. Lineage: Eukaryota; Metazoa; Chordata; Mammalia; Primates; Hominidae.
UUACACUGUGAAACAUUUGCAUGAUUGUAUUUUGGUUUCGCCAUCAGCUAAACAGGGAAAAGUUGUUUCCCAUCUCCAAGGAACUCUAUCCCACAUUUCCUCUAUUGACUUGGAGUUUCAGUUUUGCUUACCUGCUUCCUUGAAGAUACUGUGCUGUUGAAACAUCUAUUAGAGGCUCAUAGGCGGAAGGGACUUGCCUUGUCUUGGAUGAGACUUGAG